Molecule: ribosomal RNA, 497 nt
Filed under: uncultured bacterium
Lineage: Bacteria
Description: partial 16S ribosomal RNA
Rfam family: Bacterial small subunit ribosomal RNA
Source: RNAcentral
GACGAACGCUGGCGGCGUGCCUAAUACAUGCAAGUAGAACGCUGAAGAGAGGAGCUUGCUCUUCUUGGAUGAGUUGCGAACGGGGGAGUAACGCGUAGGUAACCUGCCUUGUAGCGGGGGAUAACUAUUGGAAACGAUAGCUAAUACCGCAUAACAAUGGAUGACACAUGUCAUUUAUUUGAAAGGGGCAAUUGCUCCACUACAAGAUGGACCUGCGUUGUAUUAGCUAGUAGGUGAGGUAAUGGCUCACCUAGGCGACGAUACAUAGCCGACCUGAGAGGGUGAUCGGCCACACUGGGACUGAGACACGGCCCAGACUCCUACGGGAGGCAGCAGUAGGGAAUCUUCGACAAUGGGGGCAACCCUGACCGAGCAACGCCGCGUGAGUGAAGAAGGUUUUCGGAUCGUAAAGCUCUGUUGUAAGUCAAGAACGGGUGUGAGAGUGGAAAGUUCACACUGUGACGGUAGCUUACCAGAAAGGGACGGCUAACUACGUG